GUUAACUGUUUAGAAUAUAAUGAUGCUUAAAACCCAAAAAGGUUGCAAGGUAGUGACUAAUCCCAACUAAAGUUGUGAUACCUCUAAAACAUAAAUUACGAGUUGGUGAAAGAUGGAUGCUUUGGAUCGUUAGAUCCGGAUCCAAUACCUUCUUAUUAAAAUUGUAUGGAGGCGAAAUGUUCGAAUCUUUAUUCUUUUGGAAAGAAGAAAGAAUCACAAAGUUGUUGAGGUUAAUUCACUUAGAUGUUAGUGGCACUUGUUCACAACAUAAUACUGCUCAUGUUGGAUGACAUUCACCGAAGAUCACUCUCGGUUGGACUAUAGUUUAUUUUGAAUAAACACAAGUCCGAAUACUUUGCAAAAUGUUUCAAAGAAUUCAAGUAAUGUAAGUUGAUGAGUAAGACGUCUAAAGUAAUUACCUCCUUAGAUUUGAUCCAAGAUAAGGUAACACUUUAGAACAGUUUCCUUGAAAGAUAUCAAGGAAAUAAGCAUCAUAAGAUAAUAGAUUUCUCCAUAAGGAGAAGAACGAACUUAAAUAAGAUUCAGUUCGUUGGAUAUAUCAAUUACCCAUAUAUAGGAUAUAUACUUCUAAGACAAUAUGAUUGUCAAUUAGAAGAUCUUCCAAAAUUUUCAUGACUCCAUAAGAUGUAGUUGGAAAGAAAGACAAAUCUUAAAACAUGUUAAGAUUUGGGGUUGUGUGCUAAUAAGCAAUAUUUGUUUGAUAACAAUCUUGUGGGAUAUCCUUAAAUUAACUUUUGGAUAUCACUUCUAUAAACCAACUAACAAAUGUUGUUUUGUUGGGUAGUUCAUUAUAAU
RNAcentral lists this long non-coding RNA (816 nucleotides) under Malus domestica (apple). RNAcentral describes it as "long non-coding RNA (MDOM_LNC013963)". Lineage: Eukaryota; Viridiplantae; Streptophyta; Magnoliopsida; Rosales; Rosaceae. The record is from RNAcentral.